This 522-nucleotide ribosomal RNA is filed under the name uncultured Glomeromycotina. Its description in RNAcentral is "SSU rRNA". It matches the Rfam family "Eukaryotic small subunit ribosomal RNA", at positions 569 to 1092 of the family's 1831-position model. Lineage: Eukaryota; Fungi; Glomeromycota. The record is from RNAcentral.
AGCAGCCGCGGUAAUUCCAGCUCCAAUAGCGUAUAUUAAAGUUGUUGCAGUUAAAAAGCUCGUAGUUGAAUUUCGGGGUUAGUAGGUUGGUCAUGCCUCUGGUAUGUACUGGUCUCACUGAUUCCUCCUUUCUGAUGAACCUUAAUGCCAUUAAUUUGGUGUUUUGGGGAAUUUGGACUGUUACUUUGAAAAAAUUAGAGUGUUUAAAGCAAGCUAACGCUUGAAUACAUUAGCAUGGAAUAAUGAAAUAGGACGUUCGAUCCUAUUUUGUUGGUUUCUAGGAUUGACGUAAUGAUUAAUAGGGAUAGUUGGGGGCAUUAGUAUUCAAUUGUCAGAGGUGAAAUUCUUGGAUUUAUUAAAGACUAACUACUGCGAAAGCAUUUGCCAAGGAUGUUUUCAUUAAUCAAGAACGAAAGUUAGGGGAUCGAAGACGAUCAGAUACCGUCGUAGUCUUAACCAUAAACUAUGCCGACUAGGGAUCGGAUGAUGUUAAUUUUUUAAUGACUCAUUCGGCGCCUUACG